UACAGAGGUCCCAAGCGUUUGUUCGGAUUCACUGGGCGUAAAGGGUGCGUAGGUGGUUAGGUAAGUCCGAUGUGAAAUCUCCAGGCUCAACCUGGAAAUGGCAUUGGAUACUAUCUAGCUUGAGGAGUGGAGGGGGGACUGGAAUUCUCGGUGUAGCAGUGAAAUGCGUAGAUAUCGAGAGGAACACCAGUGGCGAAGGCGAGUCCCUGGACACUUCCUGACACUGAGGCACGAAAGCUAGGGAGCAAACAGG
Molecule: ribosomal RNA, 253 nt
Filed under: uncultured bacterium
Lineage: Bacteria
Description: partial 16S ribosomal RNA
Rfam family: Bacterial small subunit ribosomal RNA
Source: RNAcentral